RNAcentral lists this ribosomal RNA (494 nucleotides) under uncultured bacterium. RNAcentral's name for it is "partial 16S ribosomal RNA". It matches the Rfam family "Bacterial small subunit ribosomal RNA", at positions 28 to 506 of the family's 1533-position model. The record is from RNAcentral.
GACGAACGCUGGCGGCGUGCCUAAUACAUGCAAGUAGAACGCUGAAGGAGGAGCUUGCUUCUCUGGAUGAGUUGCGAACGGGUGAGUAACGCGUAGGUAACCUGCCUGGUAGCGGGGGAUAACUCUUGGAAACGAUAGCUAAUACCGCAUAAUAGUAGAUGUUGCAUGACAUUUGCUUAAAAGGUGCAAUUGCAUCACUACCAGAUGGACCUGCGUUGUAUUAGCUAGUUGGUGGGGUAACGGCUCACCAAGGCGACGAUACAUGGCCGACCUGAGAGGGUGAUCGGCCACACUGGGACUGAGACACGGCCCAGACUCCUACGGGAGGCAGCAGUAGGGAAUCUUUGGCAAUGGACGGAAGUCUGACCGAGCAACGCCGCGUGAGUGAAGAAGGUUUUCGGAUCGUAAAGCUCUGUUGUAAGAGAAGAACGAGUGUGAGAGUGGAAAGUUCACACUGGGACGGUAUCUUACCAGAAAGGGACGGCUAACUACGU